This is a long non-coding RNA of Girardinichthys multiradiatus, 1333 nucleotides long. RefSeq lists it as uncharacterized. The transcript is spliced from 2 exons. The record is from RefSeq and is a predicted model, not a curated record. Lineage: Eukaryota; Metazoa; Chordata; Actinopteri; Cyprinodontiformes; Goodeidae.
ACAUUUAUCUAAAUACCACGUGAACCGACUUUUUUGUCACUGGUGUUACCACGCUUUUUUUCCUAACAUUUAAGGCUUUAAUAAAACAUUUUGACUCAAUCUCGUCAGCACAUGUAGUCAGAGUCAGACAAGAAUUAUGACAAUGCAAUGCAACCAGAAGACUGUGUUUUAAAAUGUAUUAAGGUUUGUUAAAAGUGUGAUUGAAUAACUUUCAUUUAUUUGCACUACCAUGUAUUUACAAUGAAAAUAGUUGAAAAAUCUUAUAUAAACAAUGAAUGAUACUCUCUUUAAAAUCUUACCUUAUGAGUGAAACAAAAUGUAUGGAUGUAAAAUUAUUAUCAUGUGAAAUAUAACACAUUUUAUGAACAUGACAUCAGAAAAUCUCACAGUAACAUCAGUGACACAAUGAAACACCAGUGACAAGAGCAAAUAUUCUCAUUUUAAAACAAAUAAACUUUUACAUCAUACAGGUUCUUGAACAUUUUAAGAACACAUGAAGUCCAUUAACAAACAACUAAACUGUUUAACUAAGUUAAGAUUAAGAUUCAAUUGUUCACUACUACAGAGAAAAGUGGUCGGGUUUCCACCAACAAACAUGGAACAAUUUAUUGUUCAUGGCAACUUUUUUCACUUGUCCAACUUCCCCAUGAUGAAAUCCCAGAACUGCUGCUCAAUCUGGACUGAACGCUUAUUGACUGCCCGGGGCUCUGGAAUCAGGCACGUGAUCUGGUCAUCGCUGUACCAGCUGACAUCAUCUCUGGGGCUUGGCCAGAAGAACUUAUUAAGUCCAUUCAAAAGUCAUGCACUUGACUUUUAUGUUGUCUUCUUCCAGGUGCAGGUUGAUGCCAGGGUAGGGUUCGUCAUCAUAACGUACAACACACCACUGUCCAAUGUGAUGGUCUUUGAUGGCAUUUGGUCUAAAUUUCCUCUCUGUUUUAUCAGUUGCCUCCAUUGCUACAAGAACAACCUCCUGUAGACUGUGACAUGGACAAUCAAACACGCCCUGAGCAGCCCGGCAGAAACAGCUUAUGUUCCUGUACUUGAGAAUGUUGGGAGACACGCUGAAGACCUCAUGUAUUUUCAUGGAGCCUUUAACGCUGGAAAAAGGUCUGUGCAUCUGGGAUAUCUUUCCCUUGGUGAACCAACAUGUCAGCCGUUCUCUUCAGUGUGGCCCCUACUCCAUCUGGUGCACCCUUUCCAUGACUUGCCUCGAAGAAGUUCCAUGUCACGACUGAGAAACCUCUUUGGUGUGGUUCAGUGGAUAUGAUGUGAAAGUUUGAGCGGUUUUUGUAUUGUGUGGCAGGUCCAUCACUAAAAAAGUGAAGGUUUUGGA